Molecule: transfer-messenger RNA, 321 nt
Filed under: Candidatus Colwelliibacteriota bacterium
Lineage: Bacteria; Candidatus Colwelliibacteriota
Also listed under: 1 other name
Description: Candidatus Colwellbacteria bacterium transfer-messenger RNA
Rfam family: transfer-messenger RNA
About the family: Bacterial tmRNA, also known as 10Sa RNA or SsrA, is named for its dual tRNA and mRNA-like properties. Its role is to liberate the mRNA from a stalled ribosome.
Source: RNAcentral
GGGGACGAAAGGCUUCGACAAGAAGCGUUUCCUGAAUUCGCGAGCCGACUGUGAAGUCGUUAAUCUCACAAAAAACAUAACUGCUAACGACAACGUUAGAGUUCCUGCUUUCGCUUACGCUUAAGUAGGCAUCAGUUGAGUCCGGGCCUCUUGGAUUCAAAACUGGUGUAAUACAAGGAGGCUAGUUCUGCCCAAACCGCUCCCCAGUAAGCAGAAUUAAACAAGCGGAGGAGCACGUAAGCUCGGUCUCACCGAGAUACGCUCGUAGACGAUUUAGCGAAAACCUCCUUGGACGCGGUUUCAAUACCGCCGUCUCCACUC